RNAcentral lists this long non-coding RNA (747 nucleotides) under Brassica napus (rape). Its description in RNAcentral is "long non-coding RNA (BNAP_LNC022957)". The record is from RNAcentral. Lineage: Eukaryota; Viridiplantae; Streptophyta; Magnoliopsida; Brassicales; Brassicaceae.
GUCUGUUUUGUAAAUUACAUGUCUACUCUUUUAGUUGUGAAUUUUUUGUAAAAUCAGUAAUAAUGUUUCCCAAGAUGUAAUACAUGUGCUAACAAUGUGUUUACACAUUUAAAAAUCAAUGAAAUAAUAGACUUCAAUAGCCUUUUUCUUAUCUUUGGAUCUCUCAUAUACAAUAAUAAACUCCAAUGGCCUUUUUCUCAUCUUAAUUAACAAGAAUGUUGGUAGCUUCAUAUUGAUACAACAUUUUAGAAAGCAUUUUAACCCUUCUUCCAACUCAUAACAAUAAUCAUCAUUAGUGUCUAUAACAAUAAUACUUAAGGGAUGGAAACAAACAAUAGUAACUAGUCAAAGCAUAUCAUAUUUAUUAUAAGUUUGUGUUGAAAAACUUAGUCAAAUUUAGUAAAACUAAGGGAGAAAACAUAUUUUGAAAAUAUGAGUUUUACAUAUCUUGAAGUUACUUAUCACUCUUAAAAAUACAAGUUAUUCAAAAACUAGCGUAGAAGACUUAAAAACUAGCGGAGAAGACUUCCACGGAAGUCUUCUCGGAUCAGUUAGAAACUUUAAUUAACGUGAAUGUUGGUAACCUAUGUAGUCUUUUGAAUCCUAAGUUUGGAAAAUCUGUUAUUUUUUAUCCUCAAUAACUCACCUUUCAAAUCAUUAGAAGACAAAGCGGUCAGAGCAUGCUAAAUGAAACAUUUUCCACAUACCCCUAAAUUUUUUGAAAAAAAUUAUAUACAAAUAGAUUUC